CCAUUCCAGACAACAUGUCCACUUUUGUACAUGAGUCCAUUGAGAAAGCACUAGGGUUGCUGGGGACUGUGGCUGACAGACAUCAAGAAAGCAUCAUUUUUUCCACCCAAUUAUUGAACACCUCCUCUUCGGAUACUGCCUUUUGUCAUACUCCAUCGCUAACUCUACUGAGUGCCCUUCAAAUCUGCAUCUUUAGAUAUUACAGUGCAGGAAGAACAACUCCGUGUACAUAUCUCACAGGCAAAUCAUGAUGCUUGGCAUUACGGAAGCUAUCUUGGUACCAUGAGGUUGAAAGCCACAAGCUGAGAACUGUGUCACAGGAAGCAAGCAGAAUCCUUCCCUCAUGAUCUCAUGAAGCCAC
RNAcentral lists this long non-coding RNA (361 nucleotides) under Equus asinus (donkey). Its description in RNAcentral is "lncRNA (ENSEASG00005032927.1)". The record is from RNAcentral. Lineage: Eukaryota; Metazoa; Chordata; Mammalia; Perissodactyla; Equidae.